Molecule: ribosomal RNA, 253 nt
Filed under: uncultured bacterium
Lineage: Bacteria
Description: partial 16S ribosomal RNA
Rfam family: Bacterial small subunit ribosomal RNA
Source: RNAcentral
UACGAAGGGGGCUAGCGUUGCUCGGAAUCACUGGGCGUAAAGCGCACGUAGGCGGACUCUUAAGUCGGUGGUGAAAUCCUGGAGCUCAACUCCAGAACUGCCUUCGAUACUGAGAGUCUUGAGUCCGGGAGAGGUGAGUGGAACUGCGAGUGUAGAGGUGAAAUUCGUAGAUAUUCGCAAGAACACCAGUGACGAAGGCGGCUCACUGGCCCGGUACUGACGCUGAGGUGCGAAAGCGUGGGGAGCGAACAGG